This 492-nucleotide ribosomal RNA is filed under the name uncultured bacterium. RNAcentral's name for it is "partial 16S ribosomal RNA". It matches the Rfam family "Bacterial small subunit ribosomal RNA", at positions 29 to 507 of the family's 1533-position model. The record is from RNAcentral.
AGUGAACGCUGGCGGUAGGCCUAACACAUGCAAGUCGAACGGCAGCACAGUAAGAGCUUGCUCUUACGGGUGGUGAGUGGCGGACGGGUGAGGAAUACAUCGGAAUCUACUUUUUCGUGGGGGAUAACGUAGGGAAACUUACGCUAAUACCGCAUACGACCUACGGGUGAAAGCAGGGGAUCUUCGGACCUUGCGCGAUUGAAUGAGCCGAUGUCGGAUUAGCUAGUUGGCGGGGUAAAGGCCCACCAAAGCGACGAUCCGUAGCUGGUCUGAGAGGAUGAUCAGCCACACUGGAACUGAGACACGGUCCAGACUCCUACGGGAGGCAGCAGUGGGGAAUAUUGGACAAUGGGCGCAAGCCUGAUCCAGCCAUACCGCGUGGGUGAAGAAGGCCUUCGGGUUGUAAAGCCCUUUUGUUGGGAAAGAAAAGCAGCAGGUUAAUACCCCGCUGUUCUGACGGUACCCAAAGAAUAAGCACCGGCUAACUUCGUG